This 29-nucleotide non-coding RNA is filed under the name Homo sapiens (human). Lineage: Eukaryota; Metazoa; Chordata; Mammalia; Primates; Hominidae. The record is from RNAcentral.
UCGGCAGAGCAGGCACAGCGGUGUGACGA